GCCAGGCUCUCCAGCAGAUCCUCCCUGUAACAAAGGCACAGAAGGAAAAGUAGCCUGUAAGAUAGAACAUGCAUCAUGCCUUUACGUUGUGCUGCAAUCUCUCGAUAUUUUGUAUGUACUUAUUGCUCUGAGUUUGUAUCUCUUUCCCACCUGUACUUACACUGUCUUUUUUCUGUGGCUUGUUAUUAUUUCUAUUGAGCAAUCUUCAGCCGAACUGGGAGAUCUUGCAGUGACUCACUUACUUGAACAUUAUUGCCUAGUUCUUUACACAAGACAGAUUGGAUAUGAAUGAGAUCUCUUGUCCUCAUGAGCAUUAUAUUUAUUUCACAAGACAUUUUCUUCAGAACUCUCCCUGCAAUAAAUUAUGUGACUUUGUGUAAUGACUGGGAAAAAAAAGAAAAGGAGAAAAGAAAAGCAGGUGAAACAUUUUAAAUGAAGUGUAGAACUGUAAGAAUAUACACGUAUGUAUCAUUUUCUGAUCAUCAUAACGUCAGCUGGGUGAAAGACUUUGGAGAGGUUUACUUCUAAAGAAUCACUUGCCCGGAUUUCAGCAACUGCCUUUGGAAGAGCCUGUAGUAAUGCAUUUCUUGAAACCCCUGUAUAAUCAGAGGGAAGGUGAGUAUGUUUGGGGUAGAUGGAACUGAGAUGGGACUUGGAGAUACCACAUGUCUGAGGUAUUUAUAGGAGUCUAAUCUUGGGACUGUAUCUUGUCAGUGUAUCCAUCAAAACUUCUCCAUGUUUCUUUGUUUCCCAGCUCUCCUUCCCAAUCUCUCAUGACAUCUUGGCCUUUUUACUCCCAUGUUCCUUGAUAGAGAUGUGAAAGAUAGAAGCCCAGAUGAAAUCCAGUUCUGGCCUUUCUCUGGGAGAGUGCUGGAGGAAAACAAAAUUUGAAUUGAAGCUCAAGUAUAAGUAAUCCAGUGGGCAAUUUUGAAAUCUAGGUACAAACUGGACUUUGAGUAUUGCUGGUUAGUUCUAUUUCUAUUUUCCCAGAAAGGGAAACUACAUUAUUCAGACAGAAUGUUCUGCUAGUCACAGGGCAGAAGGCCCUUCUGAAGCAGGUCUUACUUGUACCCCAGCUGUGCCAGCUGUUUUUAACUUAACAUCUCUAGUUGAUGAAACAGACAGGUUAGUAGGGGAUUCAUCUCAUAUGUGUCAUAUAAAAUCAGAGCUGACUUUAAGAAGGUACUGAUUUAUUUUUGUAUGGCUUCAAGUAGAAAGUCAAGUACCAAAGCAUCUGCUCACAGAGGGAGCCUUUGAGGAUCUAUUCAUUAAAAUGCACUGAAGAUUAAUCUGUGGCGCUAUGCCCAUCCUGGCUGAGCCUUAGUGUCCAACACGUAGUGUUAGGCAGGAGUAUGGGAAGAUAAAAAGGGUCUGCCAGACUAUUCCUCUAAGUCUAAUGCUGUACUGUGUUUAACUACUAAUGAGUUUGUUUCUCCUUGUGUUUAAAACUAGAACUAAACUUCUUCACCCAGAGUGCAGUACAGAACUAGGACGUGUCUUUCAGGGAAGUGGUGGGAUUUCUCUGCCUGGUGACUUUCAGGGAUCAUCUACACAAAACCAUCACCAACCUGAUCUAGUGUUGAUGUUAAUGCUGCUUCAAGCGGAGGUUGGCCUAGAAACCCCCGGAGGUCCUUUUCAUUUUUUUUUUUUUUUUCUUUUUUUCCCUAUGAUUUUACAGUUCUGUUAAGUGUGUUACAGUAAAAUAACCAGAUGGAUUUUUUGGAAGUAUAGAACAGAUACCCUGAAGGCAGAAAACAGUAUGUGGAGAGAGAAGACAAGGAGGGGGGAAGAAGCUCACUUCUUUCCAUUUAUGAGUUAGAGAACCAGGACUCUUACAAGGAGUUGAGAAAUUCAUCUUGAUUUGGAGAUGAGAAAAACAAACACUUCUAAGUAGCCUCUCGCUCUCCACCUGCCUGGCUUGUGAUCCUCAUCCUGUCUGGAGAAUGGUAGACAGUGUUUCAAAUGUUAGGGUCAGCCUGGUUCCUGCUCUAUCUAAUCAGUUCACUGUACAUAUCUUUUCCAGUAGGGAUUAAAUAUGUCUUGUCUCCUGUGGUUUUAUUAAAGGGCAGAGAGGAGGCAAGAAGCCUUUUACUUCUGACAAUGUUUCGGCUGCUUGCCCGAGGUUUCUGCUGCUGGAGAAGAGGGAAAGAAGAACAUACAGAUCUCAUUGCUGUGCCCACUGCUACUGCAGGAGACCUUGGUGGUGGGCUGGGUCCAUACCUCAUACUUGAUCCCUAUGUGCACAGGGCCAAAUCAGCAGGAGUGAGGGUAGGGGGAAUGUUAAAAAUGUGGAGGUUCAGAAAGUGCCUAGCAUCUUUCUCUAUCAGCUCCACAGGCAAUAGUUCUAAUGGUCCUCGUGCUCCUGGAACAGUUUUGCUGCCAGGGUUGCUCAGCUAAGGACACCUCACCCUGAGAUCUGAAAUUUAAUUUUACCCUUGGGACAAGCCAGUCUCAUUUGCUCCCUUUCCUGCAUGUCUUCCUCCUACUGGAUUAGGCAAAACCUGCUGCUGCCACUGAUACUGAUCAUUUUUCAUGCAAAGCUGGAGUUUUUGCACUCAGCAAGGGAAAGGACCGGCUCUGGCUGUUCUGCCAGUAGAUGUCCCUGCACGCACAGCUGCGGUGGAUGUGCUGUGUCUGCCCAAGGAGAACCAGCCUCUAAGAUGCUGAACUUCAUGUCACUUCUGAUGAGAUUUGUUCACACAGAUUUAUUUUUUUCCUUCCCAUUUGGUCUUCUGAUGUAAAGUUUGAUAAAACCCUUUAAAUAAUGACACUAAUUUUAUUUUAUUCUAUUUAUUUAUUUUUAAAAGGUCAUUAUUUCAUUGCAAAACACACUUUAUGUUAUCUAUACAUAUUUUUGUGUUUAUUUAUAAGGACAGUUAGAGUAGUGAGCUUAGAAAAAGACCCUGAACUGCUUUACUCUCUGCUCUUCUCUGCUGUUCUGCAGUCAAGUAACUUCCACAAUUUUUCCCUUCCUUGCUUUUUGUUCAAGCAAAGCUUGUUUUGGUGUGCUGCAAAGAAGAAAACAAGACCAAACAAAAACAAACAGUGCAGAGCACCAGAUCCUUGCUCCUUGGUGGACGUCGUUUGACAAUUUAACAGACAUCUGUGUGUCUCAAUCUUCAGCCUGCAACACAUCUUCUGUAAUAUGAGAAUUUAUCAGCUGGCUUUCAGAGCCACAUAGGAAAAUGAAGACAGAGGUUGCUUGAAUCCAGUUAGCUUUUCUGGCAAGAAGCAGGUAUCAUUUCACCCAGCUCAUAACCUAUUGCUUCCCUCACAAUCAUUGUUAUUCCAGGCCAAAGCUUAAACUCAAAAUCAAAACUGCAAGGACUUCGCACACUCUUCCACAGGUCAAAUCCUGCAGUCCUUCACCAGGCAAACUAAACCUCUACCUUGGUAGGUUUUUUCUACACAAGGACUGAGGCGUUUGCAGAAAGCUAGGAAAGCACAAAACAGUCUCCUUCAGCAGGGAAGGCAGUAAAAGAGAUUUCUACCCAACUUUCCAGCUCUGCUUUCCCUGAGUGUGAUGAGGAGCAGCAAUCAGAUUAGUGCUGUGUAGUUCAGCCAUCAAAGGUCCCACUAGCAGCAAAAAGCUACAUCUCAAGGCACCAGAGAUCUUAAACCUUAUCGAACACGGUAGUCUUCAGCUCCAAGCUGCAGAAAUUGGAGGGAAACUUCAUCUGCCUGCAUGGGAAAAUGUGUUGUCCCAUUUUCUGAGGAGCAAAAGUUCACUCCAACAUGUGGUGCAUGGGAGGUGUGCGUGUUUGGGGGUAGAGGGCAUGGUGACGUUAGGUAUGAGGAAUGGUGAAGCACUCAGCUGCUUUUUUUAUUAUUUUUAUUUUCCCCCUUGCACCCAAAUAUUUCUGCUCCUUGCAAAAAGAGGUCAGGUGUUGUAACUCUCCCCGGAUGGUUUUCGUACCGCCCAGAUGCACCGCUGUGUUUCUAAUAAAGCCACCAAGAGCAUAACCAGGAGCUCCCUGCAUGGGCUUACACGAUGUGAGCUGCUGCUUCAGAGGACUCCCUUAACUUGGGGCUGGAUGGACUGUAAAACCUUCCAAGUUAUUUUCUCCUAAUUCAAGUCAGCUGAGGCAUCAAAAUGUCGGGCAGAUGGACAAGAUCUUUGGCUGGAGCCAUCCUGUUUGCUGCUGCUGCUAGGGCUAUUGCAGUCAACACUUAGAGAUUUUACUUUAUUUAUUUAAACUUCAAUGAGUUUUUCAGAACAUUAGCCUUCACAUAAGCAUGUCAAAGGAGACUCUUGUGUGCUUUUUAGUACAAGAGCCCAUGCUCUCAGGACCACAAACUGCAAUG
Molecule: long non-coding RNA, 4305 nt
Organism: Oxyura jamaicensis (ruddy duck)
Lineage: Eukaryota; Metazoa; Chordata; Aves; Anseriformes; Anatidae
Exons: 3
Source: RefSeq, a predicted model, not a curated record